AUGAGCAGGCGGCCUCCCUCCCACCCUCUGCAAUCUGAGGAACGCGGCGGAGGCUGCCUUCCACCGCCACUCCCGGGCACCCUCGAUCCUCACUCCCCAGUCAGCUCCGCCUGCUCCCCGGCCUGCUGCUGCCUGUCCGGCGCCCCGCCGGAGGGUCAGCGCCCAGAUGAGGCUGGCGGCAGGUUCCAGGGAAAGAACCCUAAGGUAUGCAGCCCCUCAGACAAACCCGGCCACUCCCGAAAGGAGCACGCGGGGAUGGAAAGCAGCCGCCCAUCUCGCAACACUUGUCCUUCCAGAGCCGGCAUUCAACAGCCCAAGAGAAUAAUUCACCCACUUCCAAAGAGGUUUGGAAAUUUGAGUCUCCUCAGCACCUAAGGGCGGAAGAGUGCGACACCUUUGAAGCCGAACUGGGGAGUUAACAUAACAAAGACACGUGCCUGAGGACCCAGGGGUUCCCAGCCACCCGGAAGAUAAACUUAAUUCCUCUCCACCUUGAGCAGGCCUUUUCCUUCCUCAUCUAGUCCACGUGACUCGAAACCCGUCUUCGAAAGCUACAUUCGGUUCCUAGCUUUGUUGGUGUGUCUUCCUGCCUUGGCCAGAAUGGCUUUGUUCGGAUACCUGCAAAUAAUUUGGUUAGCUAUGUACUUGCUACCACGUCAGGAAUAUUUAAAAGACAGAAGAAAAAGAAAACUCAUUGAGAAUUUUCUAAAGUUUACGACUUCCCAAGAUUACAUUUUAAAGUAGGAAAAAAAAAAUACUUUCAAAAUGUGGAAUAGAAAAUGCGCUUGAAUAGAAAUCCACAGAAGCCGGCCGUGGUGGUGCACGCCUGUAAUCCCAGCCCUCGGAGGCUGAGGCAGGAGGAUCGCUGUGAAUGAGAGACCAGCCUGGGCUACAUAGUGAGUUCCAGGUCAGUCUCAACUACAUAGUGAGACCGUGUCUCAAAAAAAAAAAAAAAAGAAAGAAAGAAAUCCACAGAUCUGUGUGCAUUUGGACCACCCAACGCCUUGGGUCAAGAAGGAAGCACCUGCGAACAUAGGGAGCUGGGAAGAGUGGCUGCUUAGUUUCUGCAAAACCGAGCUUUGCCAUAGUUGACUGCUACUGGGCACCGGGAGAGGCCUUAGCAUCCCCACCCCACCCCAUAGCGCCAUCCCAGUUCUUCAUUAAAGGGGAGGCAAUCACGACGGUCCAGGCGCAGUUUGUAAUACCUAAAGCUCAAGGUCAUCAGCACCUGAUGAAUAAACAGAGAGAGUCUACCAGUGCAAUGGGAUCCUAGUCCCCCCCCCAAAGGGAAUCCUGAGAAUGCUACAUCGUGAAUUUUGAAAAUACAAUGUUAAGUAAAACAUACUACGUUUUAAUUUUUAUGAAAUUCUCAAAAUCUUUAGAACUAGAAAGUUGGUUAGUGGUUGCUGUGGGCUGGGGAAUUAAGAUUGGAUAGUGACUGCGUGUGUUUCUUUGGGGGAUAAUGAAAGUAUACCAGAAUUAGGUAAUGGUGAUGGUUGUACACUCUACAGAUACCUUAAAACCCACUAAAUUGUACACUGUCAUAGGCUGAAUUUUAUGGUAUAUUAUAUCUCAAUACAGCUGUAAAAAAUAUAAUCUUCAGGGCUGGGAGUGCAGCUCCGUGGUAUUGUGGUUGCCUAGAAUGUACUUGGCCCUGGAUUUGAUCCCUAGCACCUGAAGAAAUGCAUAUAUCAGUCUUCAGAGUUUGUUUUGUUUUGUUUUUAAGACUGGGUGUCACUAAGUCGCUAAAUUGCCCAGUCUGGCCGGACUCAAACUUUUGAUCCUCCUGCCUCAGCCUCUCAGAAUGCCAGGAUUACAGGCAUGUGCCAUUGCACCCAGUUUCAGUAGUAUUUUCAUUCAAGUGCGUGCGUGUGUGUGUGUGUGUGUGUGUGUGUGUGUGUGUGUGUGUGAUACUGUGCACGGAUAUCCCAUGCUCUUUGAAGUCUUAGCUCAAAUCUCACACCAUUCCCAAGGUCUACUCUUGACUGCUCUUUUUAAAACUGCAGUGUGCCCCCUCUCCCUGGUCCUCACCUCCCUUGCCCUACCUCCUCCCACCAUGUAGCAUUUAUCGCCUUCUAACAUACUAAAUAAUUUCUUUAUUUUUGUCUGUCCUCUACUCACACAUGCCAGUGAACAAGCCCUAUAAUCGCAGGGACCUUUGUUUCAUUCACUAACAGGCGACUUGGCCAAGCAUAGACAGUACGUAUUUGUUGCAUGAAUUAAUGACAAAAUGAAUGAGUGGUAAACUCUUCGAUGUGCAUCCCUCCUAUUGUGCAGACUUUUAGAGCAGCUUGCCAACACUGUUUAGGAGGACUGCGUUCAUGAAACUAAAAUUAAUUCUGAGUGUGAGAAGAACAGUACCUCCCUCAAGAACUAUGAUGUAAACCGAGACACUGCUCAGAAAAGAAAUCGGUUUUAAUUCUUUAAAACUGUGCUUAAGAAGGGCCGGGCAUUUAGCUCAGUGGUUCUGCCACCUACCUCACAAGCACAAGGACCCAAGUUUGAUCCCCGGUUCAAAACAACAAAAAAACUGUGCUUAAGGAAAGGUAUGGUUAAUAAGAGAAGCUGGCAACACAGAGGUAACAACGGUUCAUCUCUCAGUGGCAUGAAAGCUGUUUAGAAAUGGAAGUGUUUACUAAGUAAUGAAGUCUCACCACAAUCUGGCAGGCAGUGCAGAGAGAUGGAAAUAACUUCAAAUAAAUGACAAAUAAGCCUUGCCAGCUAAGGGGCAAGGAUGGAAGUAGCAAACUGGAUCAAAUGAUAGGGGUAAAAAGAAGUAAUGCAUACUCAUUAUCUGGCAUGGCAAGUCCCUAGUAAAUCAUCCUGAGUGUACCUUAUUCCUUUCCCUAUUUAUCAGGCACUUCUCAGGUGAAAAUGACUGAGAACUAGUACGUUAGCAUCAGUUAAAGCUACCAGAUUUUUGGCAAAUCUCACAGACUUAGGCUAAACACCAUACAAAGCUUGAGAACAGUCCCCGCAUCAAAGUUGUCUAUAUGACCAAAUAAGGAAGUUUGGGUGUUUCAAGUUCACAAACAUAUGCUUUAAUACCUAAAGAGACUAUAAAUGUGCUAAAUAAAAGCAGACAUGGAUAGUCACUGCGGUGUUGUUUUUAAUAAUAAAAUAACCUAAGUGUAUACAUAAAAUAAAAUAGCACUUAAUAACCUAAGGGGAAUUGGUUAACUAAAUUAUGGUACAGCCAUUUAAUAUAUAAUGGGAUAUAUAUUUUAUAGCUAUUUAAAAAAAUAAACUCAAAGGGGAAGUGGGAAGGAGAGGGGAAAGGAAAUAAGGGAAAAGAAAAAAGAAAAAAAGGAAACAAAGUCUUUGUAAACAAGGAAGGUUGAAGGGGGUGAAGGGAGACCAGGGGUAUGGGUGAAAAACAAGAACCAAGAUACAUCAUGUAAAGGUACAAGAUCCCAAGGAUGAAUGUAACUGUAUUGUUUGCUUUAAAUGUACCAACAAACUUAAUGGGGGAAAAUUAAUAAAUAACAAAUAAUAAACUCUAAGGGUGGGGGGUUUAGCUCAGUGGUUCUGCCACCUGUCUCACAAGCGCAAGGUCCCGAGUCCGAUCACCGGUACCAAAAAACAAAAGUAAAACAGAUAAAAAAAAGAAACUCUAUGAACUCAUAUAGAAUGAUCUAUAAUAUGUUCUACUAGGCAAACAAGGGUGUGCAUAUUGUAUGCUACCAUGGAAGAGGGGAUGGGGCAUGGGAAAACUAGACACAUGAAGGUAUGGCUGGUACAGUGCUACACGCCUGUAAUUCCAGAGCUCUGGGAGGCUGAGGCAGGAGGAUCAAAUGUUUGAGCCCAGCCUGGGCAAUUUAAUGACAACAAAACUCUGUCUCAAAAUUUAAAAAGGCUGAGGAUGUAGCUCAGAGGGAAGGCCCUGGAUUCACUCCCUGAUACCUAAAAAAUUUUAAAAAAGAUUGUCUCUAGGGAGGCAUAUAAGUAACUGGGACGAAGGGGAAAGAGGAAGACCUGCUUUUCCCUGUAUAUUUGAACUUGGUGAAUAUUGCUACAUGCACAUCUAUUGCCCACUCAGAGGUAAUAAAAUAAAAGAUUAAUCCACUAAACCAACAAAUGACAGCAUUCUUGUUUGAUUGUUCGUUUUGUACCAGGAACCAAACUUGGGUCCUCGUGCCUGUAAGGCGGGGGGCAGAACCACUGAGCUAAACCCCUGUCCUAGCUUUCAUUUUCUGCAUGCCAUAAACUUUAUCAAAAAGCAAUAAAAUUGUGCCCCCAGAAAAUGUCCCACCAAAACUACUGGGGAAAGAAAGGUAAAAAGGCGCACAGGACCUCCUGUGCUAUUUUGGCAACUAUUUCUGAUGAUUUAAAAAAAUCGAAAUUAAACCAGGCCUGGUGACACAUGCCCGCUAUCCCAGCACUCUGGGAGACUGAGGCAAGAGGAUCGCAAGUUCAAGCACAACCUGGAUACCGGGAUAACUUAGUAAUUUAGUGAGACCGUGUGUCAAUGAAUAAAUAAAGGCUGGGGAUGUAGCUCAGUGCAAAGGCCCUGGAUUUGAUUUAAGAAAUUAAAUUAAAAGGAAUUGGCCAGUCCCUGGAUGCAAGUACUUCCUUUCUUUUUUCCUCCCUUCCUCCUGCAAACAUUUGUUAUUAUAUGAGACAAGUCAGUCAAAGAUGCUAAUAAACUCUAAUACACAUUUACUAUUUUAUAAAAUAAUUCAAGGCUUUGAAGCGCAUCGUGUUUCUUUCAGGUGAUUCAAAUUUAAGACAGGCUAGCGUUCUUCCACAGUAUGCAUAUCUAUUUCUGGAAACUUUCAUUUAUUGUAUUUAAACAUCAUAUAAUUCUCUUGAAAGGUACAAUAGUUGUUAUACAGACAAGUAGCGGCAGUUCUUUCAAAGCCCAUAGGAGUUUCUCUUGUGCCUUUGAAGUGCACCAUCAAUCUAAGUCUGCGCUGAGCCUUAAGGCAGAAGGCCGGUGGAGGCCCCAACUCAUCAGUGAUUUAAACCUUGCUUCAACCUGUUCCCUAAGGUGCAAGGGCCACCCAACCAGGAGUCAAAUU
This is a long non-coding RNA of Fukomys damarensis (Damara mole-rat), 5021 nucleotides long. Lineage: Eukaryota; Metazoa; Chordata; Mammalia; Rodentia; Bathyergidae. The record is from Ensembl.